CCCUUAGAUGUUCUGGGCAGCACGCGCGCUACAAUGGUCUUCGCAAACUGAUGCAUUCUCGAAGGAGAAUGCCAAUCUUGGAAUCUAUGCCUUGGUCGGGACAGUUGCUUGCAAUUUUUCGACUCGAACCAGGAAUUCCUUGUAAUCGUGAUUCAUCACAUCACGAUGAAUACGUCCCUGCCCUUUGUACACACUGCCCGUCGCUCCUACCGAUCGAAGAGUUAGGUGAAUUGUUUUGAUCGAUAAGAUUUGACUAUGGUCAACUCUCGUUGUGAAAUUCUGUGAAUCUGACUGUUUAGAGGAAGGAAAAGUCGUAACA
This 319-nucleotide ribosomal RNA is filed under the name uncultured eukaryote. Its description in RNAcentral is "partial 18S ribosomal RNA". It matches the Rfam family "Eukaryotic small subunit ribosomal RNA", at positions 1470 to 1796 of the family's 1831-position model. The record is from RNAcentral.